Long non-coding RNA from Gallus gallus (chicken), 5292 nucleotides. The record is from Ensembl. NCBI's taxonomy places the organism in Eukaryota, Metazoa, Chordata, Aves, Galliformes, Phasianidae.
AUUUAUACUUGCUAUACUCAUAUUCUUAAUACAGGAGGUCCUGAAUAUCUACGGAAAUUCUAUACAAAUGUCUGACUAAUGUGUCUUAUUACAAAAUAUGAAGUCUUUGUUUCAUGAUUUUGCUUAUUUAUCAGCUGUGGUUUGCAGUUCUAUUUCCUACCUACCGCUCUUAUUCUUCUGUUUUACUUCCUUAAGAGCAGUUUCUUAAUGGCCUCACCACAUGCUCGUAUCUGAUAAACUAAGAGUUUGAAGUGUAAAUUUAGAUCUAAGAUUAACAAUUUCUAAGAUAGGCAGGCUUUUUCUGUACUGCUGGUCAGUGCUGCAUGCAUAAAUACUGGAUUUUAACUAUACAAGAGCUAUGCUUUUCAAGUAAAUGACUCGACAUGAAGAUGAAUACCAGAUGAGAAGUGCUCCUUAUUACUACUCCAACUGCUCAAGAAGCAAACGUCUGUGUUGAAUCAUACAGCAGUUGGCAAGGUGAAGUGUAGCACCAUCAGAAGAAAUUGAGGGACAUGAGAAUCGCUGUACAGUCUGAGAUGAAGGGUGCACAAACUGCCUAAAUGACCUGCUAGAUGCGCAGCAACCACGGGAAGUUCAGGCAGCUCUGAGUUGGCACAGGAACCAGCCUCCUUCGGCCCCUCACAAGGAAUAUGUUAAAGGACAGCACGAUGAAAGAGAAAAAAGCCACAACAGCAGCAUCUCUGCUAACCAUCACUUUGAACUUACUCUAACCUAUACCAGGACACAUUAAAUUAAGUCCUACAUGCAAAAUCCUUCAAGUUAUCCCUUAAUUACUUUUGACCCUGAUCAAUGUUUACUAAGUGCAUCAGAAAUUUGAUCCAGGAUUCACCAACCAUAAAAGUUUGUAAAUGAUAUUACAAUAAACAUGAAAUAAUAAUAAUAAAUGAAAUAAUAUUGCAGUAAUGAGAAAUAUUACUGUCAUAAUAUAAAAACAUGUACGUACAGAAAGGAUUCAUGGACCAUAUCUGCUAGUUUCUGCUCUUAUACUAGUCUAAAAUGAAAACAAAAAACAAUAGCUCAAGCCCUCUGAACAGAAUUUUGAGGGAAUUGUGUUUUACAGAAACUGCAUAGUUGCAUCAAAAAUUUUAAAAGGACAUUUAUUAACAGAAUUUAAAUUUAAAGUCAUUCGAUAGAGCUGAUCUUGAUUGAUUCCACUUUAUUUUCCUCUAACACGUGCCAUUCCGUGGUAGAUUAAAUAGAUAAUACACUUUCCCAUUUGCCAGGUUCUAUUUUUAUAUAAGCCACGUGCAUAAGUCAGGAACAUCUGCUUUUUGACAUAUUAUCAAGUUUUUUCUGUUUUUCACUUUGUUAAUAUUGCUGAAUGUUUUGUGCAUGUUUGUAUGGAAUUUCCUAUGUUCAAGUUUUAGGCCAUUACUCUGUGCUAUUGCUCUGCACCACCAAGAAGAGCCUGGCCUCAUCCAUUUGCCUCUCAUCUACCUCCUUCUAGAUAUUCAUAAACAUUGAUCAGAUUCCCCCUCAGUUUUCUUUUCCCCAGGCUGAACAGGCUGAGGUCACUCUGCCUGGAGCAGCAGAUGCUCCAGGCCCUUUAACAUCUUGGUGGUCCUCUGCUGGACUCCCUCCAGGAGAUCCCUGAAAAAUCUGAAGGGAAUUCAUACACAGCUCUCUACUGAAGGUCUACGUGAACUAAUGAAGACUGUUGAUUUUCUCAGAGUGCUUCCUUGUACUCUUACCAAACAAUGAUGUCCCCUACUCCUCAGCAUUGAAAGCUGCAUCUUAGUCUACCCAUUAUUUAUUAAAGACUUUCCAAAUAUUUAGACAUUCUCAGAAACAGUCAGAAAACACUAAAAAUGUAUGACUAGAAAAGUACUAGCAAGAUAAGGUUCUACAUGAGGACGAAACAUAGAAUACAAAAUGCAGAAAUCCUGCUCCUCGCUCAUUUUGAAUAUCAACUUUAAGGCAGAGUUUCAGACUUUGUAAAUUCUUAUUGAUAUCACAAUAAUUCACUUCAAUAUGACAAGUCAACACUAGAAAUGUAGAGUACGUCUUUCAGAAACACUCUUGCUUUGGAGAUACCCAGACUGGGUUUCUUCACAGACUUCCCUUUCCUGAGAAACAGAGGUCAGUAACGCUGGCAGUCAAAAGACAUUUUUACACACUAACCUAACUUAAGUUAUUGAAAAUAUUUGAGUACUGCUGCAGUACUAUCAAAAAUAUUUUAAAGACUUCAACAUUCAAUUUCUGCACAUUCUCAAGACAUUCUAAGAACUGAUUAAGCAUCUGCUAAUACUAGCAAUUUAUAUGAAUUUCUCCACAAUUUAGUGCAUUUAUUAGAAUUCCAUUCUCACAUAUGUGACAAAAGACUUUCAAACUUCCUAAUAAUCAAAAUGCUGUUUUUCCACCAACAGGGAAGCUACUGAGAUCAAGAAGCUACUGAGAGCUUCUCUGAAUGGUCUCCUUUCUUAAAGUAAUCAGCAGUUAAGACAGGUACUCAGAUGUCUCUAGAAAAUGGGCUAUGGGAACAAAAUACUAUGAGGUGACAUCUGAACAAACUUUUUUUGCUGUCCAUUUCAAGAUUGUUUGGCUAAUUCACACACUACAGAUGAAGUUCUAAGCGCAUUCCAGCUCCAAAAUUCAGACUACACAUAGGUGACUAAAAUUGGGUAUUCCCUUAAGGCCGCAUUUCAGAACUUUAAUCUUUUAAGUACUUUGUCAAUUGUAACAGCUCAGUACCCCAGGCAAUUCCUACUGUAAUGAUUUGAAGACUUAAAUUAGAUAAUCACAUGCACAGAGAAAUCCCACCAUCUCCAUUUCUUUGUUCUGAAGGACUGAGACGGAAGCCUUACCACUGCAAGUUUUCCCACUCUCCACUUCAGAAGAACAUUUGAACAACACUGUCUGGUGGGAUUUAGAUAUUUCUACAUUUGUGUGACCUUAACAAAAAGCACAGAGGUGAACUUAAAUCACUGACUGCUCUUUUUUUUUUUUUAAGAGAUAACCAGUUAUUCUAACCAAAAGUACCUUAACAUUCAGAUAUUACACAAGAGCUGUUCUUCUGUUUGAAUCAUUUAAUCCAUCCAAAAAGGCAGCAAUUCAGAAAGUACUUUGGAAACUCCUACAACUUUUCUGAUACGGUACAAAACAAGAUUUCAACAAUGCAGCCAGAAACAAUAGCUAGGUUUCCAAAGUACCCUUUUUUAGUUCCUACCUCAUUGCAACACGUUAUCACAGAAAUAAAAAAAAAAAGGAUUACUCACUACUAUGAAAACAAUAUCUUUUUUAUAUCCCUUUUAAAAGUCUGAUUCAAAUUCCCUUUAGUGUAAAAGCCUCACAUAUAGAAACGUACAAUGGAACGUGUCACCUUCAGAAAAUACCUGGAGUUCACCACUUCAAAAUAACUUUAUCUUAGACCAGAUGACUGAAAUGGCUGUGGUUAAGUAAGAAGAUUCCUAUACUGCAUUGACAGUAGUUUCAGGUACAUCACAUCUUAGAUGUUAAUUUAGAAAUGAGAUUAAGUAAAGAACUGCAUUGUGCAUGCUUAUAGAUCACACACUUCCUCUGCUCCAGAACAUGCUUGCUUGUUGCGAUUCCUUUAAGAAAUUCACUCAAACUUUGUAAAGUGUCAAUUAGAACACCAUUUAUUGGAACUAUCACUAUGAGAAGGGAGAUAUUUUAGAUGUUCUUGCUUUCCUUCAAAUGCUGAGAAUCCCAGUCAGGGUGCAGCAUGUUACGCAUAUCCUGUCUGUGCAAAAGGUGACUAUUUUGUCUGAGUUCUUACAAGAUUUUUCUUCGAAGAAAACAAUUCUGUUCAGCACCUCUACUGUCAAGAAAGAAGGAUAUUCACAGGAGAACUACUUGCUGUAUUUUGAGAUAAGAGUGGUGUUACACAGUUGGUGUAAUCACUGGAACUGAGCAGGAGCCUACUGGCUCCUCUUUUACAAUGAAGUGGCCUAAGUUUAUCGUGUGGCAAAUGAAUAUGCACAGCACAGUGCAUGUCUGAAGAUCAAAGCUGUGUGUUCAGCAGAGCCCAGGCUGGCAACUGCUGAAAUUAACCAUCAAGCGAACUACUGAAUUCCCAGCGUAAGGCAGUGUUUGGGUUUAGAUCAUUAAACUCUGAAGACUGCAACUUUGUCUCCAGUAGUACACAAUCCAGAGCACUUUCUCAGAACCUGAUAAAAGAUUAUAUGUUGUUGGGUUGGGUUUUUUUUUGUUUGUUUGUUUUGUUUAUUUGCUGUUUUUAAACGAUUUUUAAUAGAGUGUGCUGGGCUAUAUCUUCCAACUUCUAUCUUCUUAUCAGAUUCACUUCUUUUUUUUGUCUGUCGUCACAUGCCUGUCAUUUUUAUCCUCCCUGCUCAGGUUGUACCCUUACUGCUUUACAAUAUGUGAUACUCAAAGAUACGAACCAAUAUGCACAUAUCAAAGACAGAAUUCACACAUCCCAUAAGAAUAUGGGAACAUAAAAAGACCGCAAAAGGAUAUAAGGAAAAUUUAUAGGUUUUGGUGUGCUGACAAGGAAAACAGAAGGGAACGGAGAAGAAUGGUGCAAAAUAAAGGAGCAGCUUGACCAGCAUAUGCCAUCUCUAAGGUCUACACAAUCUUGUUUGCAUCCACAGCACUGCUGUGGAACUCAGAAGAGUGAUUUCUGCUCUUGGCAGAAAUCUUGGCACUGACCUUCCAAAUUGUUACAAAUAAAUCUCUUUUCUGUGAUUAAGAUUUUGCAUCUAAAUAGGGGUACUGACAAUCAACUUCUAUUCAACAUAGGCAGAAAGCUGUUAGAUCUCUCUCUCUCUCUCUCUCUCUCUCAUAGCCCAGCACCAUUUAUUUAAUUUCAGUGUAGAAGAGAGAAAGCUUUCCUCUCAAAUCUCAGCAAGUCUGGAAGAGUUUGCAUCUUCUAACACUUCAAAAUGGCAAGAGGGAGAGUAACAAUGCUAACAUAUUAAAAUAAGGAAAUGAAAAGAAUAAAUCAUCAUUUAUCUUUUGGGCUUUCUUGAUCUGACUUGAAAACGUAUUUCUAAUUAAAGUCUAAUGUAAGCCAAAUGUCUAAAAAACUGAACAAAUUCCAGAACAAAAUUAAUCUUCAAGUUUGAACACCCACAGUACUAACAACUGACAGCGUUGUGUUAUAUACAGAUACUCUUACAAACCUAAAAUGUAUAAUUACUAUGGUUAUACCUCUACCCAUGACAGACAAUGUGUGUAUAUACAAAGAGGCCUUUUCUGUGUAGUAAGACUGAACAGCUUUAAAUGCCACUGUAAUUUAGGAAAAUAAAUGUAAAUUGCUGAAGAUUGUCAUACUUUUAAAGGAUUUCAGCG